GUGCCAGCAGCCGCGGUAAUACAGAGGGUGCGAGCGUUAAUCGGAAUUACUGGGCGUAAAGAGCGCGUAGGUGGGUAAUUAAGUUGGAUGUAAAAGCCCUGGGCUUAACCUAGGAACGUCAUCCAAUACUGGUUAUCUAGAGUACAGUAGAGGCAAGUGGAAUUUCCGGUGUAGCGGUGAAAUGCGUAGAUAUCGGAAGGAACAUCAGUGGCGAAGGCGACUUUCUGGACUGAUACUGACACUGAGGCGCGAAAGCGUGGGGAGCAAACAGGAUUAGAUACCCUGGUAGUCCACGCUGUAAACGAUGAGAACUAGCUGUUGGAGGAAUAAAAUCCUUUAGUGGCGCAGCUAACGCGAUAAGUUCUCCGCCUGGGGAGUACGACCGCAAGGUUAAA
RNAcentral lists this ribosomal RNA (395 nucleotides) under uncultured bacterium. Its description in RNAcentral is "bacterial SSU rRNA". It matches the Rfam family "Bacterial small subunit ribosomal RNA", at positions 505 to 898 of the family's 1533-position model. The record is from RNAcentral.